UCAUAUAUUUUGUAUGGAAUGGGAUCAUUUGCCUAUGCUUGCCGCUAGGGGCACUGUUCCAACUGCAUACAAAAUUGGCUUA
Molecule: microRNA precursor, 82 nt
Filed under: Bombyx mori (domestic silkworm)
Lineage: Eukaryota; Metazoa; Arthropoda; Insecta; Lepidoptera; Bombycidae
Description: mir-2807 microRNA precursor family
Rfam family: mir-2807 microRNA precursor family
Source: Rfam by way of RNAcentral